ACGAACGCUGGCGGCGUGCCUAAUACAUGCAAGUCGAACGAGUCCUCCCAAUUUGAUUUUAUGCUUGCAUAAAUGAUUUUUGGAUUCGGGACGAGUGGCGAACUGGUGAGUAACACGUGGGUAACCUGCCCUAAAGCAGGGGAUAACAUUUGGAAACAGAUGCUAAUACCGUAUAAUUAGUUGGAACCACAUGGUUCCAACUUGAAAGAUGGUUCUGCUAUCACUUUAGGAUGGACCCGCGGCGUAUUAGCUAGUUGGUGAGAUAAAAGCUCACCAAGGCGAUGAUACGUAGCCGACCUGAGAGGGUAAUCGGCCACAUUGGGACUGAGACACGGCCCAGACUCCUACGGGAGGCAGCAGUAGGGAAUCUUCCACAAUGGACGCAAGUCUGAUGGAGCAACGCCGCGUGAGUGAAGAAGGGUUUCGGCUCGUAAAACUCUGUUGUUAAAGAAGAACAAGUGUAAGAGUAACUGUUUACGCUUUGACGGUAUUUAACCAGAAAGCCACGGCUAACUACGUGCCAGCAGCCGCGGUAAUACGUAGGUGGCAAGCGUUGUCCGGAUUUAUUGGGCGUAAAGCGAGCGCAGGUGGUCUUUUAAGUCUGUUGUGAAAGCCCUCAGCUCAACUGAGGAAGUGCAGCGGAAACUAGGAGACUUGAGUACAGAAGAGGAUAGUGGAACUCCAUGUGUAGCGGUGAAAUGCGUAGAUAUAUGGGAAGAACACCAGUGGCGAAGGCGGCUAUCUGGUCUGUUACUGACACUGAGGCUCGAAAGCAUGGGUAGCGAACAGGAUUAGAUACCCUGGUAGUCCAUGCCGUAAACGAUGAAUACUAGGUGUUGGAGGGUUUCCGCCUUUCAGUGCCGCAGCUAACGCAUUAAGUAUUCCGCCUGGGGAGUACGACCGCAAGGUUGAAACUCAAAGGAAUUGACGGGGGCCCGCACAAGUGGUGGAGCAUGUGGUUUAAUUCGAUGCUACGCGAAGAACCUUACCAGGUCUUGACAUCUUCUGCCAACCUAAGAGAUUAGGCGUUCCCUUCGGGGACAGAAUGACAGGUGGUGCAUGGUUGUCGUCAGCUCGUGUCGUGAGAUGUUGGGUUAAGUCCCGCAACGAGCGCAACCCUUAUUAUUAGUUGCCAGCAUUAAGUUGGGCACUCUAGUGAGACUGCCGGUGAUAAACCGGAGGAAGGUGGGGAUGACGUCAAAUCAUCAUGCCCCUUAUGACCUGGGCUACACACGUGCUACAAUGGAUGGUACAACGAGUCGCGAAACCGCGAGGUCAAGCUAAUCUCUUAAAGCCAUUCUCAGUUCGGAUUGCAGGCUGCAACUCGCCUGCAUGAAGUUGGAAUCACUAGUAAUCGUGGAUCAGCAUGCCACGGUGAAUACGUUCCCGGGCCUUGUACACACCGCCCGUCAA
RNAcentral lists this ribosomal RNA (1413 nucleotides) under uncultured Bacilli bacterium. Its description in RNAcentral is "bacterial SSU rRNA". It matches the Rfam family "Bacterial small subunit ribosomal RNA", at positions 29 to 1400 of the family's 1533-position model. Lineage: Bacteria; Bacillati; Bacillota; Bacilli. The record is from RNAcentral.